UGAAAUAACAAGUAAGAUCAUGGCUAUCGAAUACCUUGCUUGGAAUGUAUUCGUUCUUGAGGAAAGAUUACGUCGACUCGAACGUCGUGUGGAAAGAAGGCGACUGAGAGAUGCUCAGAAUCCUUUUCAGCUACCACGAGAAGAGUUUCUCAGCCUUUUUCGCCUGCCUCAAGAAGCUGUGAUGAAUCUUGGUUAACACCUUAAGCGCAGUCAAAGCGAAAAUAUUUUUCACUGUUCAGCAAAGCAGCAUAGGUGAUGCUGGAUAUCCGUUGGAGCCUUGGCUGUUAACACCUCUGGCCAAUUUUCCUGAAGAUACGCGACAACAUCAAUAUACACAACAACUAUGUUGUAAGGCUAGAAGCGUCGUCGAGCGGUUUUUUGGAGUUUUUAAAUCUGUAUGGAGAUGCUUGUCAUACCAGCGAGUCUUGAUGUACGAACCAGCGUUCGCAGCGAAAAUUGUUAAUGCGUGUGCAGUACUGCACAACA
This 486-nucleotide long non-coding RNA is filed under the name Neodiprion lecontei (redheaded pine sawfly). RNAcentral describes it as "uncharacterized LOC124292861, transcript variant X1". The record is from RNAcentral. Lineage: Eukaryota; Metazoa; Arthropoda; Insecta; Hymenoptera; Diprionidae.